UACGGAGGGAGCUAGCGUUGUUCGGAAUUACUGGGCGUAAAGCGCACGUAGGCGGCUUUGUAAGUUAGAGGUGAAAGCCCGGGGCUCAACUCCGGAACUGCCUUUAAGACUGCAUCGCUUGAAUCCAGGAGAGGUGAGUGGAAUUCCCAGUGUAGAGGUGAAAUUCGUAGAUAUUGGGAAGAACACCGGUGGCGAAGGCGGCGACCUGGUCCGAUACUGACGCUGAGGCGCGAAAGCGUGGGGAGCAAACAGG
RNAcentral lists this ribosomal RNA (253 nucleotides) under uncultured bacterium. RNAcentral describes it as "partial 16S ribosomal RNA". It matches the Rfam family "Bacterial small subunit ribosomal RNA", at positions 524 to 776 of the family's 1533-position model. The record is from RNAcentral.